AUGUGGAGGUGGCAGAGAGCGUCGCAGCACAGCAGCCCCGAAGCCAGCGCGGGGCCAGCGGUCCUGCCCGCGCCUGAUGGGUCACACUCUGCUCCCGCAGGCAGAAGAGCCAAGGAGAGCCCCGUCCCCGCUGUGGCCGCAGCCUGGACGGAGGCCUGUUCCCCUGUCCCCACCCCCACCCCCACCCCCACCACACUGACCGGGCUCUGCGGUGCGGCCCGGGGCCGUGGACAAUGUGCCAUCACCUCUGCUGUCGGAAAACCUUGGGGCUGGACGGCGGGGGGACCCCGAGGCACCCAGGGUGGCGUGCAACCUCCAGCAAGAAAGGAACAUGUUCGGUGGCGCUGGGGCGGCUUCUCGCGGGUUGAGGCCGGGAUGUCAGUUUGCCGAGCGGGGGUCACACAGGGAAAGCAGGACGAGGGGGCUCUCCGUGAAGACACAAGCCGCGUGGGCGUCCCAGCGAACCGACCCGAAAGGCAUCCAACCUGGCAGGAGGAAGGAAGACUGUUUGCCGAUGACGGGGUCCCGCGUGUAGCAAACCCUCCAGGUGUCACGAGAGGCCUGUUCCAACAAGCGCGGCCGGGAAGGAGCCCGACACAAAGGCGGCGCGGGGGUCCCGCUGCGUUUCCGGCCCUCGUGGCGAACUCCCGGAAGGGAAGUUGCAAAAUCAAUUUCCUCUUCGAUAACAUCAAAAAGAAUGAAAUACUUGGAGUUAGACCACAGAUUUGCACAGCGGAAAGAAAUUACGGAAGACGCAUCGGCAGACACAGCAGAGAUCACGCCUUCCAGUCUCCCCUGCAGCCAGGCGUGGCCACAGCACCGCAUUCCCCAGGACGCAGGGCUGGAAGGACUGGGCCGGAAGUCUGGGACGCCUCCUUACAGGCCGGGGGCUCCACCAUCCUCCACUGUCCUCCUUCCUGAUGCGUGAAAUACAGCUGUGAAGGCCGGAGCUCAAGCAGCCACCUUUGACCACGAGAUCAGGCACCAGCUUCCCAAGGCUGUGGACGUUUCCGUGUCAGCUCCGAGAGAGAAGACCCCUGUGUGUUGAGCGUGUUUAUCCGUGGGGGUGGGGGCAGCCUGUCCUGGGCUGAAGGAGGGUUUAUGGUUCACACUCAGCGUGUGGCCCGGUGGCAACGAGGGCUUCCAAAUCACUGAGCUCUUGAGAUGGCCCCUCUCGGAAGCCCCGUUGCUCCCCCGCCUCCUCCCUCUCAGGGCCACUCUCUUCAGAGCCGCGUCUGGAGGAACUCCUGUCCUUUUAGGAGGGAGCCCCCGCAGCCCCCUGCCUUCCCCUCCUCCAUCACGACGGCCGAAGGCGGCAGAGCCACAGGAGGGUGGGGAGACGCGAGGAGUCAGGGAGGCUGGAAGGACCAUUCGGAGCAGCAGAAACUGAGCAUCCCAGCAAACAGGACCAGGCGUCCGCGGACAGACCGACGCCCACGACAAGGGAGGGUUUGUGCCAGGCACGUGGCGUGGGCAACCGACGGAGAAAGUGCACCUCGAGGGCAGGUCUAGGGAGACAAACCGUACGAUCAACCCCACAGAGGCAGCGUGGGCAACUGCUCAGAUUUGGGGCAAGUUUGGCAUCUUUCAGAACGAUGACCGUGCCUCACAGAGACACGCUGGAGAUCCGGAGACCCGUGAGCCUCGUCCCCCAGGCCCCAGCAGCCGGCGGGCGACAGCAGCCCAGCGUUUUUCGACACGGGAAUGGACACGCGGGGUGCGGUCCACCCGCACGCUGGGCGUCCCGACACCUGCUCCGGCACGGGUGAGCCCUGAGGACGCUACGCCGAGUGACACACACCCGUCACAGGGGGACAAAGCCUGUCUGAGCCACAAAUAGAAGGUCCCCAGACUGGCCAGCCUCGCGGACACGGACAGCAGAGUGAUGCCGGCCGGGGAAGGGCUGUUUGUGUUUCACGGG
This 1921-nucleotide long non-coding RNA is filed under the name Felis catus (domestic cat). RNAcentral's name for it is "lncRNA (ENSFCAG00000050073.1)". Lineage: Eukaryota; Metazoa; Chordata; Mammalia; Carnivora; Felidae. The record is from RNAcentral.